Molecule: ribosomal RNA, 497 nt
Filed under: uncultured bacterium
Lineage: Bacteria
Description: partial 16S ribosomal RNA
Rfam family: Bacterial small subunit ribosomal RNA
Source: RNAcentral
GAUGAACGCUGGCGGCGUGCCUAACACAUGCAAGUCGAGCGAACAGACGAGGAGCUUGUUCCUCUGACGUUAGCGGCGGGCGGGUGAGUAACACGUGGAUCACCUACUUCUAUGUCUGGGAUAACUUCGGAAAACCGGAGCUAAUACCGGAUAAUAUAUUGAACCGCAUGGUUCAAUAGUGAAUGACGGUUUUGCUGUUACUUAUAGAUGGUUCCGCGCCGCAUUAGCUAGUUGGUAAGGUAACGGCUUACCAAGGCAACGAUGCGUAGCCGACCUGAGAGGGUGAUCGGCCACACUGGAACUGAGACACGGUCCAGACUCCUACGGGAGGCAGCAGUAGGGAAUCUUCGGCAAUGGGCGAAAGCCUGACGGAGCAACGCCGCGUGAGUGAUGAAAGUCUUCGGAUCGUAAAGCCCUGUUAUUGGGGAAGAACAAAUGUGUAAGUAACUAUGGACGUCUUGACGGUACCUAAACAAAAAGCCACGGCUAACUACGUG